UAACCGGAUUAGAUACCUUGGUAGUCCACGCCGUAAACGAUGAGUGAUAGCUGUUGGGUGGUUUACCAUUCAGUGGCGCAGCUAACGCAUUAAGCACUCUGCCUGGGGAGUACGGUCGCAAGAUUAAAACUCAAAGGAAUAGACGGGGGCCCGCACAAGCGGUGGAGCAUGUGGUUUAAUUUGAUGCAACGCGCAGAACCUUACCAGCCCUUGACAUGUAUAGGAGGAUAUCAGAGAUGGUAUUUUCUCUUUGGAGACCUUUACACAGGUGGUGCAUGGCGGUUGUCAGCUCGUGUCGUGAGAUGGUGGGUUAAGUCCCGCAACGAGCGCAACCCCUGCCUUUAGUUGCCAUCAAGUUUAGGUUUUUACCUAGAUGUUGGGUACUUUAUAGGGACUGCCGGUGAUAAGCCGGAGGAAGGUGGGGAUGACGUCAAGUCCUCAUGGCCCUUAUGGGGUGGGCUACACACGUGCUACAAUGGUGGUUACAAUGGGUUGCGAAGUCGUGAGGCGGAGCUAAUCCCCAAAAGCCAUCUCAGUUCGGAUUGCACUUUGCAACUAGAGUGCAUGAAGUUGGAAUCGCUAGUAAUCGCGGAUCAGCAUGCCGCGGUGAAUACGUUCUCGGGCCUUGUACACACCGCCCGUCACACCAUGGGAGUUGGUUUUGCCUGAAGACGGUGUGCUAACCGCAAGGAGGCAGCCGGCCCCGGUAGGGUCAGCGAAUGGGGUGAAGUCGUAACAAGGUAACCAAUU
RNAcentral lists this ribosomal RNA (750 nucleotides) under uncultured Candidatus Liberibacter sp. Its description in RNAcentral is "bacterial SSU rRNA". It matches the Rfam family "Bacterial small subunit ribosomal RNA", at positions 770 to 1505 of the family's 1533-position model. Lineage: Bacteria; Pseudomonadati; Pseudomonadota; Alphaproteobacteria; Hyphomicrobiales; Rhizobiaceae. The record is from RNAcentral.